AAUCAACACAGCAGAUGGUGAUCCAUGCUGUGGAAGUCUCACAUCUCCUGAUUUAAUGGAGCUGCUUUGCACUUUUUACACUGUUUAUUCACCAACACUUUAUUUAAUAAAGGUCCCAUCUAGUUUUUAUGAGGAAUGUGAUGUUUUAAUUUCUCUGUGAAUAACUGCAGUCUAAUGGAACAGCUGGAGUUGUAACAUCUGUCCUGAUAUUGAUCAUGAAGUAUUGAUCAGAAUACUUAUGAUGCACAAUGAGGGACGUCUGCAGAGACUGAGAAAGAGUCUCACCACAUCCUGACAUGAGGAAAAAGACUUUAUUGAAGACUACAAUGAGAAAAACUAUCAGACAGCAGACUGCUGCAUUCAAGUCUGUAGCUGCUGAAUUCAUGGAUGAAUCAUCUGGCACUAGAGAGGAAGACCAUCAAACAUCCACGUCAGCUGAUGGAGGUCCGAGAGUCUCACCAAACAACCAACCUACAGAGUGAAGACCUCAAAUCUGAUUGGACGGCCUCCUAUUCAGCCACAUGUGUGAACAAAUGCCUCUAAGUUGAUUUGUUUUCUAAAAUAAAUCUAGUUUGAGUCCUAAUCUAUGCUUGUG
Molecule: long non-coding RNA, 595 nt
Organism: Amphiprion ocellaris (clown anemonefish)
Lineage: Eukaryota; Metazoa; Chordata; Actinopteri; Pomacentridae
Source: Ensembl